UCACGCAUUCAUCAUUACACUUCUGCUGGAAACACACUCCAGCGAGGCUCCAACUGUGCAUCGCUUCAAGAAAUGAUCAGGAGAUGCUGUAAUGUGUCUGGCAUCCAAGCCAACAAAACCAAGAGACCCGAAGGACACUUUACCCAGCAUCCUCUCUGUUAAAGUGUACACGUGUGUGUGAUUCACCUCUCUGGCGUCCAUCACCGUUCCCACUCCGACGGUGAGGGUCAUGCUGGGAACUUUGGAGAGAUCGUUCCCG
Pimephales promelas (fathead minnow) is the source of this 259-nucleotide long non-coding RNA. RefSeq lists it as uncharacterized. NCBI's taxonomy places the organism in Eukaryota, Metazoa, Chordata, Actinopteri, Cypriniformes, Leuciscidae. The record is from RefSeq and is a predicted model, not a curated record.